Molecule: ribosomal RNA, 253 nt
Filed under: uncultured bacterium
Lineage: Bacteria
Description: partial 16S ribosomal RNA
Rfam family: Bacterial small subunit ribosomal RNA
Source: RNAcentral
UACAGAGGGUGCGAGCGUUAAUCGGAAUUACUGGGCGUAAAGGGCGCGUAGGCGGUUCGUUAAGUCCUGUGUGAAAUCCCCCGGCUCAACUGGGGAACUGCACAGGAAACUAGCGGGCUUGAGUUCGGGAGAGGGAAGCGGAAUUCCGGGUGUAGCGGUGAAAUGCGUAGAUAUCCGGAGGAACACCGGUGGCGAAGGCGGCUUCCUGGACCGACACUGACGCUGAGGCGCGAAAGCUAGGGGAGCAAACGGG